Molecule: ribosomal RNA, 567 nt
Filed under: Salmonella enterica
Lineage: Bacteria; Pseudomonadati; Pseudomonadota; Gammaproteobacteria; Enterobacterales; Enterobacteriaceae
Also listed under: 1 other name
Description: partial 23S ribosomal RNA
Rfam family: Bacterial large subunit ribosomal RNA
Source: RNAcentral
AGACCCGAAACCCGGUGAUCUAGCCAUGGGCAGGUUGAAGGUUGGGUAACACUAACUGGAGGACCGAACCGACUAAUGUUGAAAAAUUAGCGGAUGACCUGUGGCUGGGGGUGAAAGGCCAAUCAAACCGGGAGAUAGCUGGUUCUCCCCGAAAGCUAUUUAGGUAGCGCCUCGUGAAUUCAUCUCCGGGGGUAGAGCACUGUUUCGGCUAGGGGGCCAUCCCGGCUUACCAACCCGAUGCAAACUGCGAAUACCGGAGAAUGUUAUCACGGGAGACACACGGCGGGUGCUAACGUCCGUCGUGAAGAGGGAAACAACCCAGACCGCCAGCUAAGGUCCCAAAGUCAUGGUUAAGUGGGAAACGAUGUGGGAAGGCCCAGACAGCCAGGAUGUUGGCUUAGAAGCAGCCAUCAUUUAAAGAAAGCGUAAUAGCUCACUGGUCGAGUCGGCCUGCGCGGAAGAUGUAACGGGGCUAAACCAUGCACCGAAGCUGCGGCAGCGAACGUAUCACCCAAGACAACUUUACGGAGUUGACGAUUGACGGAGCGAAGCGACGUCAAAGCGUUC